UACGAAGGGGGCUAGCGUUGCUCGGAAUCACUGGGCGUAAAGCGCACGUAGGCGGAUUGUUAAGUCAGGGGUGAAAUCCUGGAGCUCAACUCCAGAACUGCCUUUGAUACUGGCGAUCUUGAGUCCGGGAGAGGUGAGUGGAAUUCCCGGUGUAGCGGUGAAAUGCGCAGAUAUCGGGAGGAACACCAAUGGCGAAGGCAGCUCGCUGGGACGGUACUGACGCUGAGACGCGAAAGCGUGGGGAGCAAACAGG
Molecule: ribosomal RNA, 253 nt
Filed under: uncultured bacterium
Lineage: Bacteria
Description: partial 16S ribosomal RNA
Rfam family: Bacterial small subunit ribosomal RNA
Source: RNAcentral